RNAcentral lists this long non-coding RNA (1311 nucleotides) under Fukomys damarensis (Damara mole-rat). Its description in RNAcentral is "lncRNA (ENSFDAG00000030566.1)". Lineage: Eukaryota; Metazoa; Chordata; Mammalia; Rodentia; Bathyergidae. The record is from RNAcentral.
GGUGUCUCUGCCUUCACGCUCUGGAGUCUGGCCCAGGUUCACCAUUGGGCUGAGCGGAAGCUACUGAGCUGUGGGGUGAAGGGUGCCUGCUCCUACUAGCCAUCUCUUUGCCUGGCUCAUUAACUUGGCAAGUCAGCACACAGCCCACUGAGGGUCUCGGCUGAAGAGCACGGGUUUUCAAGUCUGCCACACUUCGUUCCGAGUCUCUCCCUGCUCCUUACUAACGAGCCUCCCUCCCUACCUCACCCCCUAACGAGGGGAGAGCCACAGCCCUCAGGAGGGGCGGGGCUGUGUGACGGAGUAGAGCUGGGCGGGGAAGGCGCUUGGUGGCUGCUGCCAGCCCAGGCUCGUGCCGUGCUGGUGGGUGGCUGGGCUUGCACACAGCUGGCGCUGAGCGUCGUUCUGGAGGUGGCUCUGCACUGCCCUCCCCUCCCUUCCGCCUGCUUCAGCUAGGAAAUGCAGCUCCUCCCGAUGAGAGCCGAGGGACCUCCCUCUUUCACUGUUUGAGUCAUUAAUUCACACGCCAAAUGCCAGGACCAGCAGUCUGCUCUGUCCAGUGACUAGGAGCCGUUCACCUCCAGUUCCCCAAGUGUGCAAGGCCCUGAAAUGCCGUUCUUCCUGAAGCCCUCGCCCCUUUCCUCCCUCCUGCUUUGCAAGCUAAAUGGAAUUAUAUAUAUGUUUUGCCAUCGUUUGCCUUAGAUGGUGUCUCCCCAAGAAUCAUGGGUAAUCUCAGAUGCAAAUGGCCUAUGCAAAUCCAGCUGCUGGUAAAAUGAGGAGUAAGCCCGAGGCAGCCGCAGUGGCAGACUGUAACCGGGAUCUCCACAGAGCCUCAAUCUACACAGGGUCCACGAGAGGAAGCGGAGGAGGAAGACUCGUUAGUUGCUUGGUCACCUUCACCUUGAAAGGAGCUGUGCAGCUCGAGUCCAACCUACACUCUUACCUUCGUGUUCGUGCACAGCCUCACUCUGGUCUCACUGUGUUCGAUUUUCUCCCGUAUCCCUGAUCCUGUGCGCCCACGCUCACAUCCCUAAUAUAUGUCCUUAGAUAUGGAUGCUUCCUGUAAAAUAUAUGGUGUUUAUCGUGUGAAUGUGUUUUAAUUUACAUAAAUUGUAUUGGGCUAUAGAUCUCAUUCUGCUGCUUAAUUCUUUCACUUAACACUGUGUUUUUAGAUCUACCUGCGUCGCUGUGCAUAAAUCUCAUUUGAGAUGCCUCUGAGUGCUGCGGUGGUUUCCAGAGAGACUCUUGCUAGGCUUCUGAUGGGCACCGAGCUGCCUCCUUUCCCCCGCUGACGGCUGACCCCCGGGACGCACG